UACUCCUACGGGAGGCAGCAGUGGGGAAUAUUGCACAAUGGGCGAAACCCUGAUGCAGCGACGCCGCGUGAGUGACGAAGUAUUUCGGUAUGUAAAACUCUAUCAGCAGGGAAGAUAACGACGGUACCUGACUAAGAAGCACCGGCUAAAUACGUGCCAGCAGCCGCGGUAAU
Molecule: ribosomal RNA, 173 nt
Filed under: uncultured bacterium
Lineage: Bacteria
Description: partial 16S ribosomal RNA
Rfam family: Bacterial small subunit ribosomal RNA
Source: RNAcentral